AUUGAACGCUGGCGGCAGGCCUAACACAUGCAAGUCGAGCGGAUGAGUGGAGCUUGCUCCAUGAUUCAGGCGGCGGACGGGUGGAGUAAUGCCUAGGAAUCUGCCUGGUAGUGGGGGACAACGUUUCGAAAGGAACGCUAAUACCGCAUACGUCCUACGGGAGAAAGCAGGGGACCUUCGGGCCUUGCGCUAUCAGAUGAGCCUAGGUCGGAUUAGCUAGUAGGUGAGGUAAUGGCUCACCUAGGCGACGAUCCGUAACUGGUCUGAGAGGAUGAUCAGUCACACUGGAACUGAGACACGGUCCAGACUCCUACGGGAGGCAGCAGUGGGGAAUAUUGGACAAUGGGCGAAAGCCUGAUCCAGCCAUGCCGCGUGUGUGAAGAAGGUCUUCGGAUUGUAAAGCACUUUAAGUUGGGAGGAAGGGCAGUAAGUUAAUACCUUGCUGUUUUGACGUUACCAACAGAAUAAGCACCGGCUAACUUCGUG
RNAcentral lists this ribosomal RNA (486 nucleotides) under uncultured bacterium. RNAcentral describes it as "bacterial SSU rRNA". It matches the Rfam family "Bacterial small subunit ribosomal RNA", at positions 30 to 507 of the family's 1533-position model. The record is from RNAcentral.